RNAcentral lists this ribosomal RNA (468 nucleotides) under uncultured bacterium. RNAcentral's name for it is "partial 16S ribosomal RNA". It matches the Rfam family "Bacterial small subunit ribosomal RNA", at positions 28 to 507 of the family's 1533-position model. The record is from RNAcentral.
GACGAACGCUGGCGGCGUGCUUAACACAUGCAAGUCGAACGGAAAGGCCCUGCUUUUGUGGGGUGCUCGAGUGGCGAACGGGUGAGUAACACGUGAGUAACCUGCCCUUGACUUUGGGAUAACUUCAGGAAACUGGGGCUAAUACCGGAUAGGAGCUCCUGCUGCAUGGUGGGGGUUGGAAAGUUUCGGCGGUUGGGGAUGGACUCGCGGCUUAUCAGCUUGUUGGUGGGGUAGUGGCUUACCAAGGCUUUGACGGGUAGCCGGCCUGAGAGGGUGACCGGCCACAUUGGGACUGAGAUACGGCCCAGACUCCUACGGGAGGCAGCAGUGGGGAAUAUUGCCCAAUGGGCGGAAGCCUGAUGCAGCAACGCCGCGUGCGGGAUGACGGCCUUCGGGUUGUAAACCGCUUUAGCCUGUGACGAAGCGUGAGUGACGGUAAUGGGUAAAGAAGCACCGGCUAACUACGUG